RNAcentral lists this long non-coding RNA (639 nucleotides) under Mus pahari (shrew mouse). RNAcentral's name for it is "lncRNA (MGP_PahariEiJ_G0004575.1)". The record is from RNAcentral. Lineage: Eukaryota; Metazoa; Chordata; Mammalia; Rodentia; Muridae.
GGGACCAAUGGUAGCUGCAGUCUAUCUGCAGUCCAGUGACCUGGAGGGGUCAGAGGCAGGAAGGAGAGCAACUCCAGAAAGAACCACACCAGCAAGGAAUAACUUUGCUACUUUUCCAGGAAAAUCACAUCAUCAGCUACUGACCAAGUUCCUACAGAGCCUGGGCAGAGAAUCAGAGAGAUGAUUCUCCAUGCCUGGCUUCUUUUGUUCCAUGUAUGUUUGUGAAGUGUGUUCAUGAUGCUGCACACAGCGAUACCUCACUCAUUGCUGAUAAUGAAGCCCUGUAGCUUACCCAUUUCACUGCAGUAAAUAACAUAUUGCUUCUUGUUUGUGUGUCCUGAAUCAUGAAGAUGUGCAACAAUUCCAUGAGUUUGGACAGUUGCCUACAUUUAUACAAAUGACCACCUCAGGACUCACUGCCAUUCCAGCUUCUGCAAAUGCUAAGCUCAGCUUUUCCCCACACCAGGUCCGUGUGCUAUAGGUUUUAUUAUAGCAUUUCCUAUGCGUGGUUGCAUGUAGUGGACAAUCUUUUCUGCCUGGUUUCAGUGCCUUUCAGAUUUGUCCAAACUCUUGCAUGAAUCGAUUGAAUGUACUUAUUGCUGAAUAGAAUUCUAGUAAAAAGUGUUUAUCCAUUCACGA